This is a long non-coding RNA of Gorilla gorilla gorilla (western lowland gorilla), 294 nucleotides long. RefSeq lists it as uncharacterized. NCBI's taxonomy places the organism in Eukaryota, Metazoa, Chordata, Mammalia, Primates, Hominidae. The transcript is spliced from 3 exons. The record is from RefSeq and is a predicted model, not a curated record.
CUGAAUCUACCAUGAAAGACUUCAGAGUCCAGGAAGAGAGACUGACUGGGCAACAUCUUAUUCAGAAACAGGACCUUGCUGUGUCACUCAAGAUGGAGUUCAGUGAUCCUAUCAUGGCUCAUUGUAGCCUCAAACUCCCAGGCUCAAGCGAUCCUCCCACCUCAUCCCUCCCAGUAGCUGGGACUACAGAUGGAGUUUCACUCUUGUUGCCCAAGCUGGAGGGCAAUGGUGUGAUCUCGGCUCACUGCAACCUCCGCCUCCCAGUUUCAAGCGAUUCUUCUGCCUCAGCCUCCC